AGGAUCAUUAGUGAAUAUAGGACGUCCAACUUAACUUGGAGUCCGAACUCUCACUUUCUAACCCUGUGCACUUGUUUGGGAUAGUAACUCUCGCAAGAGAGCGAACUCCUAUUCACUUAUAAACACAAAGUCUAUGAAUGUAUUAAAUUUUAUAACAAAAUAAAACUUUCAACAACGGAUCUCUUGGCUCUCGCAUCGAUGAAGAACGCAGCGAAAUGCGAUAAGUAAUGUGAAUUGCAGAAUUCAGUGAAUCAUCGAAUCUUUGAACGCACCUUGCGCUCCAUGGUAUUCCGUGGAGCAUGCCUGUUUGAGUGUCAUGAAUACUUCAACCCUCCUCUUUCUUAAUGAUUGAAGAGGUGUUUGGUUUCUGAGCGCUGCUGGCCUUUACGGUCUAGCUCGUUCGUAAUGCAUUAGCAUCCGCAAUCGAACUUCGGAUUGACUUGGCGUAAUAGACUAUUCGCUGAGGAAUUCUAGUCUUCGGAUUAGAGCCGGGUUGGGUUAAAGGAAGCUUCUAAUCAGAAUGUCUACAUUUUAAGAUUAGAUCUCAAAUCAGGUAGGACUACCCGCUGAACUUAAGCAUAUCAAUAAGCGGAGGAAAAGAAACUAACAAGGAUUCCCCUAGUAGCGGCGAGCGAAGCGGGAAGAGCUCAAAUUUAUAAUCUGGCACCUUCGGUGUCCGAGUUGUAAUCUCUAGAAAUGUUUUCCGCGUUGGACCGCACACAAGUCUGUUGGAAUACAGCGGCAUAGUGGUGAGACCCCCGUAUAUGGUGCGGACGCCCAGCGCUUUGUGAUACAUUUUCGAAGAGUCGAGUUGUUUGGGAAUGCAGCUCAAAUUGGGUGGUAAAUUCCAUCUAAAGCUAAAUAUUGGCGAGAGACCGAUAGCGAACAAGUACCGUGAGGGAAAGAUGAAAAGCACUUUGGAAAGAGAGUUAACAGUACGUGAAAUUGUUGGAAGGGAAACGCUUGAAGUCAGACUUGCUUGCCGAGCAAUCGGUUUGCAGGCCAGCAUCAGUUUUCCGGGAUGGAUAAUGGUAGAGAGAAGGUAGCAGUUUCGGCUGUGUUAUAGCUCUCUGCUGGAUACAUCUUGGGGGACUGAGGAACGCAGUGUGCCUUUGGCGGGGGUUUCGACCUCUUCACACUUAG
This 1143-nucleotide ribosomal RNA is filed under the name Rhodotorula mucilaginosa. RNAcentral describes it as "eukaryotic LSU rRNA". The stretch from base 540 to 1143 matches the Rfam family "Eukaryotic large subunit ribosomal RNA", at positions 1 to 620 of the family's 3401-position model. Lineage: Eukaryota; Fungi; Basidiomycota; Microbotryomycetes; Sporidiobolales; Sporidiobolaceae. The record is from RNAcentral.